UUUCCCACAAGGAACUUUAAGAAUACUCUUGUGAAAUGACUCGAAGACUUCAUUUGAAAUUUCCAGUAAAACUUGAUUCAUCUUAGGAGGCGAUGGAUAGAUGUGAAAAAAAAGUGUAUGACUCAUGUUGGAUGACAUUAUUAAUGCUACAAACGAUUGUAAAACACUUCUAAUGUUAUGCAUUUAUAUUUAUUUUUCACAAUUAUAUAUCAAGUGAUCCUUUGCUGUGUUCUUUUUGUUGUUUCUUGCAGGUCAUAUGAAAUAUGUCUUCAGUUUUUGAAUUGUGUCAGGAAUGAUACGAAUGAUAUGAUCUUAUUUGCUGACUGUAAGGUGAUUGAAGAAAAAUAUCAUUGGGGCAUGGCACGACAGCUGAAGAAGUCACAUACUUCUGUUUUGUAGCACUACGACAUUUAAAGGAUAUUAGGUUCAAUUUAACGGUUUCUUCAAGCUUUGCUUAAUGUAUUUGAUGCUAAUCAAAUGAUUUUAACUUCCUUGCUGACUAAUUAUGAAUGAAAGGGGCAAGA
Solanum lycopersicum (tomato) is the source of this 524-nucleotide non-coding RNA. The record is from RefSeq and is a predicted model, not a curated record. NCBI's taxonomy places the organism in Eukaryota, Viridiplantae, Streptophyta, Magnoliopsida, Solanales, Solanaceae.